GUGGAGGUGGUGGUGCUGGUGGAGGGUUCGGAGGAGGAAAAGGCGGUGGUGGGGGAUUUGGUGCUGGUGGUGGAGCUGGAGGUGGAUUUGGAGGGGGUGGGGGCUUCGGCGGAGGCGGCGGAGGGUUUUAAGCAAUGUAAAAGGAUGGAAAGCAAAACUAAGACCUCCUAGUACGUGAUUGAGUGAAAAAUAUGCAUAUUUAACCGGGCAACUUCCAUUAAAGGAAAUGUAUGAGCCUUUGUAUUAUCAAGUUGAUGCUUAUGAUUUAUAAAAUCUUAUUAGC
This 283-nucleotide unclassified non-coding RNA is filed under the name Hevea brasiliensis (rubber tree). The record is from RNAcentral. Lineage: Eukaryota; Viridiplantae; Streptophyta; Magnoliopsida; Malpighiales; Euphorbiaceae.